CCUGCUCUCUUGGCUCUGCUGCUGAGGGUCACAUGGCAGCUGCUCCACCAGCGCUUGCUCCCAGCUCCCAAGAUGCUUCCAGUCUCUUCCUUCCUGGUUGUGGAUGCAGAGCUGGAAACCGGAAAUUCCCUCUGUUGUAAGUCCCCUUCCCCAGGAGCUGUCCUCAGCGGAGCUUGACAGAGCUGAGCCUGAGUUCUGAGAGCAAGGUAGUAUGAGGAGACACUAAGAAGAGAGAAGUGAAUGUCUUGUUACUUGUUCUUCCAUUUUUUUCUGCACCUCAGCACUCAGUGGCCCUCGUUCUUGCCUUCAGAUGAAGAUGUAGAACUCUCAGCUCCUCCUUCACCACGCCUGCCUGGAUGCUGCCAUGUUCCUGCCUUGAUGAUAAUGAACUGAACCUCUGCGCCUGACUGAGUCACUGGAGCAUCUAUCUGCACGCUGCGGUUUCGACUUUCCCCCAAGUGCAUAGCGAGACUCCUGACGUUGCUAUAGCAGUCAAGGAAAAGCCUUCCGCCUCCUCAGGCCUUCUUGC
Molecule: long non-coding RNA, 529 nt
Filed under: Mus caroli (Ryukyu mouse)
Lineage: Eukaryota; Metazoa; Chordata; Mammalia; Rodentia; Muridae
Description: lncRNA (MGP_CAROLIEiJ_G0013743.1)
Source: RNAcentral